This 433-nucleotide ribosomal RNA is filed under the name uncultured bacterium. RNAcentral describes it as "partial 16S ribosomal RNA". It matches the Rfam family "Bacterial small subunit ribosomal RNA", at positions 29 to 507 of the family's 1533-position model. The record is from RNAcentral.
AACGAACGCUGGCGGCAGGCCUAACACAUGCAAGUCGAGCGAGGACUUCGGUCCUAGCGGCGGACGGGUGAGUAACGCGUGGGAACGUGCCCUUUGCUUCGGAAUAGCCCUGGGAAACUGGGAGUAAUACCGGAUGAGCCCUUUGGGGGAAAGAUUUAUCGGCGAAGGAUCGGCCCGCGUUGGAUUAGGUAGUUGGUGGGGUAAUGGCCUACCAAGCCGACGAUCCAUAGCUGGUUUGAGAGGAUGAUCAGCCACACUGGGACUGAGACACGGCCCAGACUCCUACGGGAGGCAGCAGUGGGGAAUCUUAGACAAUGGGGGAAACCCUGAUCUAGCCAUGCUGCGUGAGCGAUGAAGGCCUUAGGGUUGUAAAGCUCUUUCAGCUGGGAAGAUAAUGACGGUACCAGCAGAAGAAGCCCCGGCUAACUCCGUG